This 201-nucleotide ribosomal RNA is filed under the name uncultured bacterium. RNAcentral describes it as "partial 16S ribosomal RNA". It matches the Rfam family "Bacterial small subunit ribosomal RNA", at positions 328 to 539 of the family's 1533-position model. The record is from RNAcentral.
ACGCUCGACACCUACAGGAGGCAGCAGUGGGGAAUAUUGGGCAAUGGGCGAAAGCCUGACCCAGCAACGCCGCGUGAGGGAAGAAGGUUUUCGGAUUGUAAACCUCUGUCCUCAGGGACGAAGGACGUGACGGUACCUGAGGAGGAAGCCCCGGCUAACUACGUGCCAGCAGCCGCGGUAAUCUGAGCGGGCUGGCAAGGC